Non-coding RNA from Triticum aestivum (bread wheat), 114 nucleotides. NCBI's taxonomy places the organism in Eukaryota, Viridiplantae, Streptophyta, Magnoliopsida, Poales, Poaceae. The record is from Rfam.
GAGAGCACAGUACGAUGAAAGUUGUAAGCUGUGUUCGGGGGGGAGUUAUUGUUUAUCGUUGGCCUCUAUGGUAGAACCCGUCGGAGAGGCCUGAGAGGCGGUGGUUUACCCUGU